AUGUCCACGGCUGCUGCUCAUCUGCCCCUGGAGCACUGUGGCUCGGUGCUCUCCUUCCUGUGGAAAGAACUGUCCUUCUCUUCCAGGUGCCCAUGGCCAAAAUCUGGAUUCCUCUUCUUAGUUUGCUUCUAUGCAAAGAUUGUUCUCAGACGAAAUCUGCCAGGACAGACAAGUCUGGCUGGCCUUGGUUUCCAAAGAGCUGAUUCUUAUCUGCCUUUGAAACACUGGGGCUUUGUGCUUUCCUUUCUGAUGAAAAGAACUCUUCUUCCUGCCCAGGUGCCCAUGGCCAAAGUUUGGAAUCCUCCUCCAGAAUUCCCUAGGUCCAAGGAUUUCUCAGUGACAAAAGCUGCCAGGACAAACAGGUCUGGCUGGCCUGGCCUCCCAGGAGCCUUCUCUCUCUGCUUCUGCCCCUGCAACACGGAGGCUCUGGGCUUUCCUUCCUAUGGAAAGGAACCAUCCUUCUUAACAGUGCAGAAAUGGCCGAAAUUGGGGUUCCACCUCCCAAAUUCCCUAUAUCCAAGGGUUGCUUUCAGACAAAAAAAUACCACAACAGAGAGGUCUGGCUGCCCUUGGCCUCUGAUGGUCACCUUUCAUCUGCCCCUGAAACACCGGUGUUCCGUCCUUGCCUUCCUAUGGAAAAGAACCGUCCUUCUCCUCCAGGCAGCCAGGUCUGAAACUGGCAUUCCACCUCUAAAAUUCCCUAUAUCCAAGGACAAAAUCUGCCAGCACCAUCUGAUCUGGCUGCCCUUAGCCUCUGGUGGCUGUGGCUCAUCUGCCCCUGCAGCACUGGGGCUGGGUUGUUCCCUUCCUGUGGAGACCAUGGUGGCACAGUGAGGACCUGGUGGAACCAUGGAGUCCAUUGUGACACUUUGGGGCCAUGGUGACCCCGCGGGGCUCCAUGGAACCCAGAGACCACCAUGACUCUGUGGGGCCUUGUGGAACCAUGGAGACCAUUCCGACCCUUCAGAGCCUCGUGUCACCAAGGGGGCAUUGUGACACCUCAGGGCCUCCUGGAAGCAAGGGACCAUUGGGACACUGUGGGGCUCCAUGGAAUGAGGGGAACAGGGAACAGGUCUGGCAGGCUUGGCCUCCCAGGGGCCACCUGACAGGUCUGGCUGAUCUUGGAAUGUCAAGGGCUGCCUCUCAUCUGCCCAUGAACCACUGGGGCUCUGUGCUUUCCUUGCAGUGGAAAAGAACUGUCCCUCUUUUUUGACACUCAUGGACAAAAUUGGUACUUCCCCUAAAAAAUUUCCUGUAUGCAAGGGUAUCUGCCAGAAAAAAACCUGCCAGCUCUGGCUGGCCUUGGCCUCUGAUGAUCGCAUCUCAGUUGCCUCAGAAGCACUGGGGCUCUGUGCCUUCCUUCCUGCAGAAAAGAACUGACCCUCUUGUCCAGGGGCCAUGGCAGGAACUGGAAUUUGGCCACCAAAAUUCCAUCUAUCCUAGGAUUGCUCCCAGACAAAAGCUGCCAGGACAGACAGUUCUGCCUGGCCUUGGCCUCUGGUGAUAUGAGCAGAAUGUUUUCUUUUGCAAACACCUUGGACAGGGCCCAGAGAUCUCCUGAGCUGGGUUUUGCAGGCCUCAAGAAUAUAACCCAUGUAUGGAGGCUGAUGUGCCUGGGCUCAGCUGUGAAGAGACUGAGGACAGAUCAGGAGUGGCCUGGCAGGGCUUGAAAGGUGGAUUCCAAAAUGGUGGAGCUUUUCUCCAUAGUGGGAAUCAGGCAGGGAGAGAAAUUAUGCCCCAAAUGCAGCUGGGGAAGGACAGACUGGACACAGGAGGAGAAAGGAAUUUCCCUCCCAGGGCAGGGCUGUGGUGCAACACAUCCCCAGCAGGAGCC
This is a long non-coding RNA of Lonchura striata (white-rumped munia), 1834 nucleotides long. The record is from Ensembl. Lineage: Eukaryota; Metazoa; Chordata; Aves; Passeriformes; Estrildidae.